UUAUUAUUAUAGGAUAUCGGCUUCUACAUGCAGAAGGGAGAGAAUCCUUCUUUUGCUGAGCUGUCUGAAAGAGCAUAUUUGCGACGAGAAGUUGCCAUUGGUUACAUGAAGAACAAUACGAAGGUUAUAAAUCCAAUGCCCAAGUCUGAGCCUCUGUCCCUUGAAUUGACAGAUUCGUUGAUUGUAAUAUCUGAGCUUGAAGGAGAACAACCCUUGCUUAUUUAAACUUGUAAUCGUUUAAUUUUUUAUUUUCAACUAAACAAAUCUUUGAUUCAUUUCAUUGUUCACAAAGUGCAUAUUAUAAUGAGCAAAAAGUCUGUUAUCAUGGACCUCUUUGGUA
Camellia sinensis is the source of this 340-nucleotide non-coding RNA. The record is from RefSeq and is a predicted model, not a curated record. Lineage: Eukaryota; Viridiplantae; Streptophyta; Magnoliopsida; Ericales; Theaceae.